UGCUUGGGGGCAUGGUCAUGCAGGGCUUAACAAAGAGGACAAUAGCAUGUAUAGGCGUAACGCGGAGAUUUCAGUGUGUCUACGGUUAGGGUCCUCUUGGG
This is a non-coding RNA of Colinus virginianus (northern bobwhite), 101 nucleotides long. Lineage: Eukaryota; Metazoa; Chordata; Aves; Galliformes; Odontophoridae. The record is from Rfam.